GACAGGCAUCCAGGACGGCUGAGCGGAGCAGGCUGGGCCUGGCCUGCUUGGGAGCGAAUGGCGGCGGGGUCCAGGGGACUCGGAUGAGGAGCGCCUCCUUUCGAGCAUCCACGGGAGGGAUGGCCAGUCCCCUUCCCUUCUCGCUAGAAGUCGCCCGGGAGAUCACCUAGUCUCCCCUCGCUGCGGGCUGCUCAGGAACCGCGCCUCCCCCCGCCCUGCCGAGCCCCUUGUAGCCAGUGUUAGCGGUGCUGGCCGCGACUAACCUUAGCCUUUGUCCCUGCGUCUGGUUCUACAGCUGCUGUAGGGGCCGCACAACCGUCCGCACUGUACAUGGAAACCAUCUUUUCUCUUCCUUUGUGUUUGGGCUAAGACCCUUCAUUCCCUGUACCAGAAGGAAUGAAAAGACUGGGCAGGAGCGUGCCUGAUGCUCGCCGAAGGAUGCGACAUGGAUCCAAGAAAACAAACCCUGCCCCUCUUCGAGAACAGCAAGUGCUCUUAAUCGCCGAACCGUAGCUCCAGCCCCCAGGGUUGGCUUUUUGCAGAAGACAGGGAUCUCCUUUUUUGUGGUAUGUUGGAAAACAGAAAAAUAAAUAAAUAAAUUGGCAACUGGA
Molecule: long non-coding RNA, 611 nt
Organism: Meriones unguiculatus (Mongolian gerbil)
Lineage: Eukaryota; Metazoa; Chordata; Mammalia; Rodentia; Muridae
Exons: 2
Source: RefSeq, a predicted model, not a curated record